UUUUCCGGUUGAUCCUGCCAGAGGCUACUGCUAUCGGGGUUCGAUUAAGCCAUGCGAGUUAAAUGUUCUUCGUGAACAUAGCGAACUGCUCAGUAACACGUGGAUAACCUACCCUUAGGACCGGAAUAACCCCGGGAAACUGGGGAUAAUACCGGAUAAGCCAUAGACGCUGGAAUGCCCUAUGGUUCAAAGCUCCGGCGCCUAAGGAUGGAUCUGCGGUCUAUCAGGUUGUAGUGGGUGUAACGUACCUACUAGCCGACGACGGAUACGGGUUGUGAGAGCAAGAGCCCGGAGAUGGAUUCUGAGACACGAAUCCAGGCCCUACGGGGUGCAGCAGGCGCGAACACUUUACAAUGCGGGAAACCGCGAUAAGGGAACCCCGAGUGCCAGCAUCAAAUGUUGGCUGUCCAGAUGAUUAAAAAUCAUUUGUUAGCAAGGGCCGGGCAAGACCGGUGCCAGCCGCCGCGGUAACACCGGCGGCCCGAGUGGUAGCCGUUUUUAUUGGGUCUAAAGGGUCCGUAGCCGGCCUGAUAAGUCCUUUGGGAAAUCUGGCAGCUUAACUGUCAGGCUUCUAAGGGAUACUGUCAGGCUUGGGACCGGAAGAGGUAAGGGGUACUCCAGGGGUAGGAGUGAAAUCUUGUAAUCCCUGGGGGACCAUCUGUGGCGAAGGCGCCUUACCAGAACGGGUCCGACGGUGAGGGACGAAAGCUAGGGGAGCAAACCGGAUUAGAUACCCGGGUAGUCCUAGCUGUAAACGAUGCUCGCUAGGUGUCAGACACGGUGCGACCGUGUUUGGUGCCGCAGGGAAGCCGUUAAGCGAGCCACUUGGGAAGUACGGUCGCAAGGCUGAAACUAAAGAAUGGCGGGGCAGCACUACAAACAGAUAUGCC
RNAcentral lists this ribosomal RNA (890 nucleotides) under uncultured archaeon. RNAcentral describes it as "bacterial SSU rRNA". It matches the Rfam family "Archaeal small subunit ribosomal RNA", at positions 1 to 895 of the family's 1478-position model. The record is from RNAcentral.